RNAcentral lists this ribosomal RNA (253 nucleotides) under uncultured bacterium. RNAcentral describes it as "partial 16S ribosomal RNA". It matches the Rfam family "Bacterial small subunit ribosomal RNA", at positions 524 to 776 of the family's 1533-position model. The record is from RNAcentral.
UACGAGGGGGGCAAGCGUUGUUCGGAAUUAUUGGGCGUAAAGGGCGCGUAGGCGGCGCGACAAGUCACCUGUGAAAUCUCUGAGCUUAACUCGGAGCCUGCAGGCGAAACUGUCGUGCUGGAGUAUGAGAGAGGUGCGUGGAAUUCCCGGUGUAGCGGUGGAAUGCGUAGAUAUCGGGAGGAACACCUGUGGCGAAAGCGGCGCACUGGACCAUAACUGACGCUGAGGCGCGAAAGCUAGGGGAGCAAACAGG